AGUGGGAUAGCUGGGUCAAAUGGUGGUUCAAUUUACAGUUUUUCCAAAGAUUCUCCAUACUGCUUUCCAUAUUGGCUGCACCAUUUUGCAGUCCCACCAGCAAU
RNAcentral lists this microRNA precursor (104 nucleotides) under Marmota monax (woodchuck). The record is from RNAcentral. Lineage: Eukaryota; Metazoa; Chordata; Mammalia; Rodentia; Sciuridae.